AAAGGAAUAGACGGGGGCCCGCACAAGCGGUGGAGCAUGUGGUUUAAUUCGAUGGUACGCGAAGAACCUUACCAGGGCUUGACAUGCUGGAUGUAGGAACCCGAAAGGGGGACCACCGGUAUCCAAUCCGGAACCAGCACAGGUGGUGCAUGGCUGUCGUCAGCUCGUGUCGUGAGAUGUUGGGUUAAGUCCCGCAACGAGCGCAACCCUUGCCCUUAGUUACCGGAACGUAAGUUUCGGACCCUAAGGGGACUGCCGCAGAUGAUGCGGAGGAAGGUGGGGACGACGUCAAGUCAGCAUGCCCCUUAUGUCCUGGGCGACACACGUGCUACAAUGGCCGGUAUAAAGAGACGCAAAGCCGUGAGGUAGAGCAAAUCCCAAAAAACCGGUCCCAGUUCGGAUCGGGGUCUGAAACUCGACCCCGUGAAGCCGGAAUCGCUAGUAAUCGCGGAUCAGCCAUGCCGCGGUGAAUACGUUCUCGGGCCUUGUACACACCGCCCGU
Molecule: ribosomal RNA, 502 nt
Filed under: uncultured bacterium
Lineage: Bacteria
Description: bacterial SSU rRNA
Rfam family: Bacterial small subunit ribosomal RNA
Source: RNAcentral